UUUUAAGCUUUUCAGAGGAAUUUGCUCUUUAAUGGAUAAAACACCAAAAUCUUACUUAAAUUUGUCAUUUCAAUUUGUAUACCACUAUAAAAACAAUUUAUAACUUUAAUUGUUUAAAUUUACAAAAUUAGAAUAUAUUAAGUCAAGGUGCAGUAAAAAUUUAAGAAUGAAGUGAAUUACAUUACUUUUUAGUGAAAUAAAUUUAUAAUAAUACUUA
This 217-nucleotide ribosomal RNA is filed under the name Rhipicephalus sp. RNAcentral's name for it is "partial small subunit ribosomal RNA". The record is from RNAcentral. Lineage: Eukaryota; Metazoa; Arthropoda; Arachnida; Ixodida; Ixodidae.